UAGAAUCGAUUGCCAAUGAGGUGCAGACGGCUGAUUGGAAACCAACGUUUUGUCACUUCACUCAACUUGGCCUUUGGUUUUGCCACCCCCACAGCUCCAGUUGUAUUUCCACUGUCCCCCUGUUGCCAAGAUCUCUCAACUGCCUCUGAAGUGAACCUUGGAUGUUUGGUCACUGGCUACUAUCCUGAGCCGGUCACAGUGCAGUGGAAUUCAGGAGCCAUCUCCACUGGCAUCCGGACCUUCCCAGCAGUACUGCAUUCCUCCAGCGGCCAUUACACUCUCAGCAGCCAGCUCACCGUCCCAGUCUCCAGCUGGAAUACCGAGAAUUUCCAAUGCAAGGUCGUACAUGCACCAACCAGCUCCUCAGUUGACCAAACGAUUGAACGCUGUGUGACACAUAGUCCAGUGCCCCCAGAUGUCCGCAUACUUCAUUCCUCCUGCGGCCCCAGCUCCUCUGAUGCCACCAUUGAAUUGGCUUGCAUUGUAUCAAGUUUCUACCCAAAAGAAGUGACUGUGGAAUGGCUGAUAGGUGGAAAGUCUGGGUUGCUCCCCUCAUACACUGAGCCUCCCAGGCAAGAUGCAGUUGGGUACACCUUCAGUACCACCAGCAGUGCCAAUAUUAGCCAAGCAGACUGGCUGGAAGGAACCAUCUACACCUGCAAGGUGACACAUCCCGGAAGCCAAACCACCACGAGAAGCCGAGCCAAAAAAUGCGAAGAUGACAGUACCGGUCAAUGUGAUGGCAUUUAUGUUUACCUCAAAUCCCCGACACCAAAUGACCUAUACCUAAACAGAGAUCCCAAGGUUUCCUGCGUGGUAGGUAAUCUGGAAAGUGAAGAAGGGCUGAAGGUGACUUGGUCACGAGAAAAGCAGGUAUCCCUGGACCCUGAACCUAUGUCUGCAUCAGAAGAACUUAAUGGCACCUACACUGUGGUCAGUACUGUGCCCAUCCUUACCAGAGACUGGGACUCAGAAGAGACAUUCACCUGCACCGUGGAAUAUCCAGGCGUGCCCACUCCCAUUGUUAAGAAAAUUUUCAAGCGUAAAGGCAAGGUCACAACACCCAGUGUGUACCUCUUCCGCCCUCACCGUGAAGAGGUGAACUUUCAGCAACAUUCAAAGCUGACCCUCACUUGCCUGAUCAAAAAUUUGAACCCGAAGGAUGUCUCUGUCAUGUGGCUGAAGAAUAACAACGCUCUGACUGAAGACAACCACACCACAACCCCAGUCUUGAAGGACAGCAUUGAGGAUAGCUAUUUUGCCUACAGCAAACUGUCGAUCUCCAGAGCUGAUUGGGACCAAGGCAGUUCCUUCACCUGCAUGGUUAUCCACGAAGGCCUUGCCAUGAAGUUCACCCAGAGGACCGUUGAGAAAUCCCAGGGUAAAAAGUGAAGACCAUCUCUAUCCUGUACCACAGUCCUCUUCGCCCUAUCCCAGAUUAUGAAACAGAUUAUAACCGUUUUGACAGAGAAUGGUUACAGUGAUGAGAACGAGGAAGAGCUGAAGCAUUUGUGGAUGACCAUCUUCAUUUUCUUCAUUCUCUUCCUUCUCAGCGUGUGCUAUAGUGCGACGGUGACCCUAUUCAAAGUGAAAUGGCUUUUUUCCAGCAUGGUGAACAUGAAGAGGCAACCAACUGGCCCCGAUUAUAAGAAUGUACUCCAGCGUAGAGAUGAAGCCUGUCAACUCAAGAUCUUCUAUGAGGAAGGCAAUGCAGCUAGAAUCUGGAACAGGAUUUCUGAUCUUACGUUCUUAAUUUGA
This is a non-coding RNA of Anolis sagrei ordinatus, 1758 nucleotides long. Lineage: Eukaryota; Metazoa; Chordata; Lepidosauria; Squamata; Anolidae. The record is from the annotation of a RefSeq genome assembly.